GUGGGGAAUAUUGGACAAUGGGCGAAAGCCUGAUCCAGCCAUGCCGCGUGUGUGAAGAAGGUCUUCGGAUUGUAAAGCACUUUAAGUUGGGAGGAAGGGCAGUAAGUUAAUACCUUGCUGUUUUGACGUUACCAACAGAAUAAGCACCGGCUAACUUCGUGCCAGCAGCCACGGUAAUACGAAGGGUGCAAGCGUUAAUCGGAAUUACUGGGCGUAAAGCGCGCGUAGGUGGUUCAGCAAGUUGAAGGUGAAAUCCCCGGGCUCAACCUGGGAACUGCCUCCAAAACUACUGAGCUAGAGUACGGUAGAGGGUAGUGGAAUUUCCUGUGUAGCGGUGAAAUGCGUAGAUAUAGGAAGGAACACCAGUGGCGAAGGCGACUACCUGGACUGAUACUGACACUGAGGUGCGAAAGCGUGGGGAGCAAACAGGAUUAGAAACCCUUGUAGUCC
This 450-nucleotide ribosomal RNA is filed under the name uncultured bacterium. Its description in RNAcentral is "partial 16S ribosomal RNA". It matches the Rfam family "Bacterial small subunit ribosomal RNA", at positions 354 to 796 of the family's 1533-position model. The record is from RNAcentral.